GACGAACGCUGGCGGCGUGCUUAACACAUGCAAGUCGAACGGUGAAGCGCCUUCCUUUUUGGUGGGUGUGGAUGAGUGGCGAACGGGUGAGUAACACGUGAGUAACCUGCCCCCUUCUUCUGGAUAACCGCAUGAAAGUGUGGCUAAUACGGGAUAUUCUGGGUCUGUCGCAUGAUGGGUCUGGGAAAGAUAUUGUUUCGGUGGGGGAUGGGCUCGGGGCCUAUUAGCUUGUUGGUGGGGUGAUGGCCUACCAAGGCGGUGACUGGUAGCCGGCCUGAGAGGUCGGACGGUCACACGGGGACUGAGACACGGCCCAGACUCCUACGGGAGGCAGCAGUGGGGAAUAUUGCAAAAUGGGCGCAAGCCUGAUGCAGCGACGCCGCGUGAGGGAUGGAGGCCUUCGGGUUGUGAACCUCUUUCGCCAGUGAAGCAGGCCUGCCUCGUUUGUGGGUGGGUUGACGGUAGCUGGAUAAGAAGCGCCGGCUAACUACGUG
RNAcentral lists this ribosomal RNA (494 nucleotides) under uncultured bacterium. RNAcentral's name for it is "partial 16S ribosomal RNA". It matches the Rfam family "Bacterial small subunit ribosomal RNA", at positions 28 to 507 of the family's 1533-position model. The record is from RNAcentral.